This 482-nucleotide ribosomal RNA is filed under the name uncultured bacterium. Its description in RNAcentral is "partial 16S ribosomal RNA". It matches the Rfam family "Bacterial small subunit ribosomal RNA", at positions 30 to 507 of the family's 1533-position model. The record is from RNAcentral.
AUUGAACGCUGGCGGCAUGCCUUACACAUGCAAGUCGAACGGUAACAGGGCUUCGUUUCCUGACGAGUGGCGAACGGGGGAGGAACACAUCGGAACGGGCCACGGAGCGGGGGAUAACUACUCGUAAGAGUAGCGAAUACCGCAUGAGAUCUAAGGAUGAAAGCCAGGGAGCGUCAGGCUCUGCGCUACUAGAGCGGCCGAUGGCCGAUUAGGAAGUUGGUGGGAUAAAGGCUUACCAAGCCGACGAUCUGUAGCUGGUCUGAGAGGACGACCAGCCACACUGGAACUGAGACACGGUCCAGACUCCUACGGGAGGCAGCAGUGGGGAAUUUUGGACAAUGGGCGAAAGCCUGAUCCAGCAAUGCCGCGUGCGGGAUGAAGGCCUUCGGGUUGUAAAGUGCUUUUGGACGGAACGAAAACACUCUCGCUAAUAAAGAGGGUGAUUGACGUUACCGUAAGAAUAAGCACCGGCUAACUACGUG